UACGAAGGGGGCGAGCGUUGUUCGGAUUUACUGGGCGUAAAGGGCGCGCAGGCGGCUUUUCAAGUCAGGCGUGAAAUCCCCGGGCUUAACCCGGGAGCUGCCUCCGAUACGGCAUGACUUGAGUCCGGGAGAGGGGAGCAGAAUUCCCAGUGUAGCGGUGAAAUGCGUAGAUAUUGGGAGGAAUACCGGUGGCGAAGGCGGCUCCCUGGACCGGUACUGACGCUGAGGCGCGAAAGCGUGGGUAGCAAACAGG
This 253-nucleotide ribosomal RNA is filed under the name uncultured bacterium. RNAcentral's name for it is "partial 16S ribosomal RNA". It matches the Rfam family "Bacterial small subunit ribosomal RNA", at positions 524 to 776 of the family's 1533-position model. The record is from RNAcentral.